Molecule: small RNA, 132 nt
Filed under: Salmonella enterica subsp. enterica serovar Oranienburg
Lineage: Bacteria; Pseudomonadati; Pseudomonadota; Gammaproteobacteria; Enterobacterales; Enterobacteriaceae
Also listed under: 31 other names
Description: RtT sRNA
Rfam family: RtT RNA
About the family: This family represents a bacterial cis-regulatory element known as RtT RNA.
Source: RNAcentral
AUAUCUCUCUGUACGGGAAGGAUGAGAAGCUUCGACUAAGGUUCGAUUCGAGCGAAAGCGAGAAAGCGUUGCCAACGGCAACGACCCGAAGGGCGAAGCGCGCAGCGCUGAGUAAUCCUUCCCCCGUCAUCC